GCUAUGUUGGCCGGGCGACGGUUGUCCCGGUUUAAGCGUGUAGGUGUGUGUUCCAGGUAAAUCCGGUUCACUUUAACACUGAGGCGUGACGACGAGGCACUACGGUGCUGAAGCAACAAAUGCCCUGCUUCCAGGAAAAGCCUCUAAGCAUCAGGUAACAUCAAAUCGUACCCCAAACCGACACAGGUGGUCAGGUAGAGAAUACCAAGGCGCUUGAGAGAACUCGGGUGAAGGAACUAGGCAAAAUGGUGCCGUAACUUCGGGAGAAGGCACGCUGACACGUAGGUGAAGUGAUUUACUCAUGGAGCUGAAGUCAGUCGAAGAUACCAGCUGGCUGCAACUGUUUAUUAAAAACACAGCACUGUGCAAACACGAAAGUGGACGUAUACGGUGUGACGCCUGCCCGGUGCCGGAAGGUUAAUUGAUGGGGUCAGCGCAAGCGAAGCUCCUGAUCGAAGCCCCGGUAAACGGCGGCCGUAACUAUAACGGUCCUAAGGUAGCGAAAUUCCUUGUCGGGUAAGUUCCGACCUGCACGAAUGGCGUAAUGAUGGCCAGGCUGUCUCCACCCGAGACUCAGUGAAAUUGAACUCGCUGUGAAGAUGCAGUGUACCCGCGGCAAGACGGAAAGACCCCGUGAACCUUUACUAUAGCUUGACACUGAACAUUGAGCCUUGAUGUGUAGGAUAGGUGGGAGGCUUUGAAGUGUGGACGCCAGUCUGCAUGGAGCCGACCUUGAAAUACCACCCUUUAAUGUUUGAUGUUCUAACGUGGACCCGUUACCCGGGUUGCGGACAGUGUCUGGUGGGUAGUUUGACUGGGGCGGUCUCCUCCUAAAGAGUAACGGAGGAGCACGAAGGUUGGCUAAUCCUGGUCGGACAUCAGGAGGUUAGUGCAAUGGCAUAAGCCAGCUUGACUGCGAGCGUGACGGCGCGAGCAGGUGCGAAAGCAGGUCAUAGUGAUCCGGUGGUUCUGAAUGGAAGGGCCAUCGCUCAACGGAUAAAAGGUACUCCGGGGAUAACAGGCUGAUACCGCCCAAGAGUUCAUAUCGACGGCGGUGUUUGGCACCUCGAUGUCGGCUCAUCACAUCCUGGGGCUGAAGUAGGUCCCAAGGGUAUGGCUGUUCGCCAUUUAAAGUGGUACGCGAGCUGGGUUUAGAACGUCGUGAGACAGUUCGGUCCCUAUCUGCCGUGG
This 1191-nucleotide ribosomal RNA is filed under the name Salmonella enterica. Its description in RNAcentral is "partial 23S ribosomal RNA". It matches the Rfam family "Bacterial large subunit ribosomal RNA", at positions 1481 to 2650 of the family's 2925-position model. The record is from RNAcentral. Lineage: Bacteria; Pseudomonadati; Pseudomonadota; Gammaproteobacteria; Enterobacterales; Enterobacteriaceae.